This 1258-nucleotide long non-coding RNA is filed under the name Mytilus galloprovincialis (Mediterranean mussel). The record is from RNAcentral. Lineage: Eukaryota; Metazoa; Mollusca; Bivalvia; Mytilida; Mytilidae.
AUAUAUAUAUAUAUAUUAGCUAUCUUAAUUCAACGCUUUGUCUUUAUGACCAACAUAUUUCCGAAGAAUACGUUUGUGGUACUUGCAUGUGCUCAAUAUUUCCAAAUGACAAAUAUGCAAAUUGUGUCCGUCUGGUAGGGCGAUUUUUGUUUCGUAGACAAUAAAAAUAUCCACAAGUAUUCAUGAAAUUAAAACAAAAUACACUUCGCACUUUAAUAAUAUACAUAUAUGUAUUGUUUUAAUAAACAUUUUCACUUUUUUUUGGUCUUUUGGAAAAUGUUGUUUGUGCUGUAUUUAGAUCCUUCUACAACGAAAUUUGUUUUACAUGCACACGUAUAAAAAUUGCGGUUUUUAUCCAACGCAAUCAUAGGUUUGAACGUAGAUUUCAAUUUAGACUUGUAUAUAUAUCUAUAUACUUAGCGAUUAAUUUGUAACUAAACUCACAUAGUUUUGUAGUAAUUCAUUUAUGGUGGCAGAAGAGAGUCCUUGUUGCACUUUCUCCUUUGUAUGUAUGUCAUGACGAAAGUUUCUGCAAAACUACCAGACAGUCACUUUCUAUUGACGAAACUAGAAAGCUUCCUUUAACUACUAGUCGUAGAGUUUUUGUAACAAAAUCAUCUGUUUUUGUAUUUACAGAUGACAUGUUUAUUUGGAACUUUCUUAUGCUGAACAGUUAUCAAAUGUACCAGUCUUAUAAUUCAAUACACCAGACGCGCGUUUCGUCUACAUAAGACUCAUCAGUGACGCUCACAUUAAAAUAGUUAUAAAGCCAAACAAGUAGAAAGUUGAAGAGCAUUGAGGACCCAAAGUUCAAAAAAGUUAUGCCAAAUACGGCUAAGGUAAUCUAUGUUUGGGAUAAGAAAAUCCUUAGUAUCUUCUUGAAAUUAUGCCAUGUUCGAUUGUAUCUUGCAAUCACUUCCGGUUUUAAUAUACUUAAAUAUGACCUCUGGAUUUCUUUUGUGUAUUUGUGUCGUUAAACUUUAUGAUCCGUUUAAGUAUACCCCAUAUAUUUUAUAAAUACAUGUAAUAUAAAAUAAUAUUUUGUCUGAGGUAUGAAAGCAAUAAUAGAGAAGAUUCCAAUCACCUUAGGUUGAACAUGUACAUCUAUUUUUUAAAGCUCACUUUUAUCAUCAAUAUAAUAAUUUGUGUUGUUCGUUAUUAAUUUUUAUUCAGAUACAUGUAUAUUUAUUUACGCUUUACGCUAUUUUUACAUUUUUUAUUUUCUUUGUAUAUGUAUAUAUAUAUUUGAUCAUUUCGC